Molecule: ribosomal RNA, 497 nt
Filed under: uncultured bacterium
Lineage: Bacteria
Description: partial 16S ribosomal RNA
Rfam family: Bacterial small subunit ribosomal RNA
Source: RNAcentral
GAUGAACGCUGGCGGCGUGCCUAAUACAUGCAAGUCGAGCGAACAGACGAGGAUCUUGCUCCUCUGACGUUAGCGGCGGACGGGUGAGUAACACGUGGAUAACCUACCUAUAAGACUGGGAUAACUUCGGGAAACCGGAGCUAAUACCGGAUAAUAUAUUGAACCGCAUGGUUCAAUAGUGAAAGACGGUUUUGCUGUCACGUAUAGAUGGAUCCGCGCCGCAUUAGCUAGUUGGUAAGGUAACGGCUUACCAAGGCAACGAUGCGUAGCCGAGCUGAGAGGGGGGUCGCCCGCACGAGAACGGAGACAGCGUCAAGAGGCCUGCGGGAGGCCGCAGUAGGGAAUGUUACGCAAUGGGCGAAAGCAUGGCGGAGCAGCCCCGAGUGAGUGGUGGCAGUCUUGGGUGCGUAAAACUCUGUUACUAGGGAAGAACAAAUGUGUACUUAGCUAUGCACGUCUUGACGGUACCUAAUCAGAAAGCCACGGCUAACUACGUG